GUGUCAGCAGCCGCGGUAAUACGUAGGUGGCAAGCGUUGUCCGGAAUUAUUGGGCGUAAAGCGCGCGCAGGUGGUUCCUUAAGUCUGAUGUGAAAGCCCACGGCUCAACCGUGGAGGGUCAUUGGAAACUGGGGAACUUGAGUGCAGAAGAGGAAAGUGGAAUUCCAAGUGUAGCGGUGAAAUGCGUAGAGAUUUGGAGGAACACCAGUGGCGAAGGCGACUUUCUGGUCUGUAACUGACACUGAGGCGCGAAAGCGUGGGGAGCAAACAGGAUUAGAUACCCUGGUAGUCC
RNAcentral lists this ribosomal RNA (292 nucleotides) under uncultured bacterium. RNAcentral's name for it is "partial 16S ribosomal RNA". It matches the Rfam family "Bacterial small subunit ribosomal RNA", at positions 505 to 796 of the family's 1533-position model. The record is from RNAcentral.